This 265-nucleotide ribosomal RNA is filed under the name uncultured bacterium. RNAcentral's name for it is "partial 16S ribosomal RNA". It matches the Rfam family "Bacterial small subunit ribosomal RNA", at positions 793 to 1055 of the family's 1533-position model. The record is from RNAcentral.
GUCCACGCCGUAAACGAUGAUGACUAGCUGUCGGGGCUCAUGGAGUUUCGGUGGCGCAGCUAACGCGUUAAGUCAUCCGCCUGGGGAGUACGGCCGCAAGGUUAAAACUCAAAGAAAUUGACGGGGGCCUGCACAAGCGGUGGAGCAUGUGGUUUAAUUCGAAGCAACGCGCAGAACCUUACCAGCGUUUGACAUGGUAGGACGGUUUCCAGAGAUGGAUUCCUUCCCUUACGGGACCUACACACAGGUGCUGCAUGGCUGUCGU